GACAGAGGGGGCAAGCGUUGCUCGGAAUUACUGGGCGUAAAGGGCGCGUAGGCGGGAUGGCAAGUCGGUCGUGAAAUCCUUCGGCUCAACCGAAGAACGUCGAUCGAUACUGCUGUUCUUGAGGGUUGCAGAGGAGACUGGAAUUCCCGGUGUAGCGGUGAAAUGCGUAGAUAUCAGGAGGAACACCGGUGGUGUAGACGGCUCUCUGGACCGUAACUGACGCUGAGACACGAAAGCGUGGGUAGCAAACAGG
This 253-nucleotide ribosomal RNA is filed under the name uncultured bacterium. RNAcentral describes it as "partial 16S ribosomal RNA". It matches the Rfam family "Bacterial small subunit ribosomal RNA", at positions 524 to 776 of the family's 1533-position model. The record is from RNAcentral.